UCCGCUUUGAUGUGUUGUGCAUAAUAUCUUCAGUUUUGUUUUGGUUUAUUUCUGUUUCGUUGAGAUAUAUUAUUUUGCAUUUUAUAUGUUCUUAUUGCAUACAAAGGAUUGAAUGAUGUACAUAUAUUGUCAAAGAUCUUACCUUAAUCAUGACAAGGAGGAAUAUUGCUAAUAAACUUUUUAUUUUGUAACACUUGAAGCUGUGAAAAAUAAAGUCUAUAAAACAUUAA
Aedes aegypti (yellow fever mosquito) is the source of this 230-nucleotide long non-coding RNA. RefSeq lists it as uncharacterized. NCBI's taxonomy places the organism in Eukaryota, Metazoa, Arthropoda, Insecta, Diptera, Culicidae. The transcript is spliced from 2 exons. The record is from RefSeq and is a predicted model, not a curated record.